GACGAACGCUGGCGGCGUGCCUAAUACAUGCAAGUCGAACGAAGCUUUUUUAACUGGUGCUUGCACAGACAUAAACAACUGAGUAGCCAACGGGUGAGUAACACGUUGGUAACCUGACCCAAAGCGGGGGAGAACAUUUGGAAACAGAUGCUAAUACCGCAUAACCACAGACAACACAACGAUUCUGUGUCAAGUAUGCUUUAGCGUAUGACAUUGGGAGGGAACCGCGGCGUAUUAGCUAGUUGGUAGGGUAAUGGCUUAACAAGGAAAUGAUACGUAGCCGGACUGAGAAGUUGAUCGGCCACAUUGGGAAUGAUACACGGCCCAAACUCCUACGGGAGGCAGCAGUAGGGAAUCUUCCACAAUGGACGAAAGUCUGAUGGAGCAACGCCGCGUGAGUGAAGAAGGUUUUCGGAUCGUAAAACGCUGUUGUCAGAGAAGAACGUGUGCGAGAGUAACUGUUCGUGCAGUGACGGUAUCUGGCCAGAAAGCCACGGCUAACUACGUGCCAGCCGCCGCAGUAA
RNAcentral lists this ribosomal RNA (524 nucleotides) under uncultured bacterium. Its description in RNAcentral is "partial 16S ribosomal RNA". It matches the Rfam family "Bacterial small subunit ribosomal RNA", at positions 28 to 523 of the family's 1533-position model. The record is from RNAcentral.